This 3278-nucleotide long non-coding RNA is filed under the name Gossypium barbadense (sea-island cotton). Its description in RNAcentral is "long non-coding RNA (GBAR_LNC004521)". Lineage: Eukaryota; Viridiplantae; Streptophyta; Magnoliopsida; Malvales; Malvaceae. The record is from RNAcentral.
AAAAACAAAGCAUAACGUUUGGAGAUAAAGACAACAGAUAAAUAAAACUCAAGAAAAAUGAAAUGUUUCCAAAAUCACAAAGUGAAUCCAACUGAUUGAUAGAACUCACCCAACCUCUCGUAGGCAUCAGAAAGUUUAGAACACCAGGAGCCCCUUAGAAGAUCCAUCAUCCUUUCCCAUGUAGACUGAAUUAGGGACGAUCAUUGCUUUACGCCGAUCGAAGUUAGUUUGACAGAUUGGUCCAUCGUUUUUCCUUCACUUCAUCAGCAAAAAAAGUCGGCACCUCUUCCGCCAGAUAAGUUGUUUCCUUUUUUUAAAUUCCUUCUAUUGCUAGCAAAUGUGCUAGUCCAUUCUUUUCACUUGCAAUAUGUACGAAAUGGCAUCUUUCAUGACCUUCGCUUAAAGCUUUCAAAUAUUUAAUAAAAGAACUGAUAACCAACGCAUCUUCAACAUUUGCAUUUAUCUUUUUCACUGUUGCAAGGCCAUCAACUUCAAUUUCCACCUCACUAUGUCUUAAAGCCAGACCCAUUUGAACCACCUAAAGACAUGCAAGCGCCUCCACAGAGGUAUGUGGUUGAUGAUUAUUCCCGACCACAAAACAGACCUAUUUGAGUUUCUUCCCACUAUCCCCGAACAAGAUUUCUUUGUGUGGCUUUGGAAAGUGACGUUGAAAUUUAUCUUGAUAAAGGGUGAUUCUGGUGGUAUCCAUAGUUCUAACUCAACUCUUCUGGCAGGUAAUUUUUCAUUUAUGGCUUUUUAGUUCCCGGAUGGAUGAGUUAAUAAGAUUCACUAUCUCUUGAGUUGACUGUUUUAUCCCUUCAUGCAAGGCCUUAUUUCUUGCCGACUAGAUUGCCCAAAUAGCACAGGCCACUUGCUUCAUUUGUUCUCUAGAAAUAGUUGAGAAUAGAUAAGUCAUCCACUCCCUAUAUUCUAACUCUAAAACCUCCUAUGACCAUUUUAUUCCUAAUUUGUUCCAUACUCCCUUAACAAUGAUACAUCCUCAGAAAGCAAGCUCAAGGGUUUCAAAAUCAUUUGUGCAUCUGGGACACACCACAAAAUUUCCAAGUCGCUUGUAAAAUAGGUUAUUGAGAGUAAAAAUGUAAUUAUUAAAGACCUUCCAGUUUGUAAUCUUUAUUUUAUCUAGUAAUUAGGCUGCUAAAGUUUCUUGUAAAACAGCGUAUAGAUGCUCUGAUUGUUGAUAGGCAUAGAGUUAACACCACUUUGUAUCAAAAUUUUGUAACCACUUCUCACCAAAUAUUUACCAGUUGCUUCACCUCACCAAACCAAUCUAUCCUCAUAUGGAUGUCGAGAAAGGGGAAUGCAUAAAAUACGUUCUACAUCUUCGUUCGAAAAUAUAUUGGUAAUAUGUUCCUCUCUCCACUAUCUCAAUGUAGGCUCUAUCAAUUCAGACACAAUUGUUAGUGAAAGAUUGUUAACAAAUCUACGGAUUUUGUAAUAUAAAGAACUGAGGACCCAAUGUAAUAUCCCGUUUUCCAAUGGUACCGAAAAUAGUAGCUUUGAGACCACAACUCUGAUGUGUGAGUCUAUAAAUAUUAAUUAUUUAAUAUUUAUGAGGUCAUUAGUGUCAUGUUAAAAUUUGACUAUAAAUAUUAAUUAUUUAAUAUUUAUGAGGUCAUUAGUGUCAUGUUAAAAUUUGGUCUAGAAAUUUUGAUGUUUGAUUAGUUAAUUAAAGAAAAAUAACUAAAUCGUAAAAGUUGAAAAAGUUAAUUGCUAUUAUUUCUUUAUAGGCCAAAUGGAUGGGAAAAAAUUAUUGUGUGGAUUUAAAUGAAAAUUUAGCCAUUCUUAUUGUUAGUGACCAAUUUUGGACUUGAUUAAUUAAGUUUAUGAUUAAAAUUUUAUAUUAAACUAAUGUCAAAAGAUUAAUAAUAAUAAAACCAAAAGGGAAAAGCAUUCGUUUUCUUCAUUCUCCUAUUUUGCAAAUGGAAACACCAUUUUUAAAUCUUGGGAGCUUCAGCCUUGUAUUUUUUUCAUGCAUGUAAGUCCAUUUUCACUCAUUUUUCAUGAAUUUUAUGUUUUUGAGAUCAUUGUAGCUUAACCCAACUAGCCCAUAGACUAUUUUGUGAAAUUGUUAAUGUUUUAAAAACUUUUCAUUGAUGUUUUUGAAGCUUUUUAUAUGCUAAUGCUUUAGCUUGAAGCUUGAUGAUGAAUUAGGACUAAUUUGUAAAGUGAUUUUGAAUAGUUUUGAGUUUAGGGACUAAAAUGAUUAAAUAUUAAAAUUUGUUGGGUAUUCUUGUAAAAUUUUAGAAUUUGAUGGUUCUUUAGGGAUGGUUAAUAAUUCAACACUAUAAGUUAGGGAUUAAAUUGUGAAAAUAAGAUUGUUUUGGUUUAGGGACUAAAUUGAAUAAAAUGCAAAAGUUUAGGGUAAUUAUGUAAAAUGUCAAUAAAAAGUCAUAUGCAUCAAAUGAAUUGUUAAAAAUUAUUUGGGACUGAUAAUUGAAAUAAAAUUAUUGUAUAGAUCAAGAACCAGUAGAUAAUCAUGGAAAAGAGAAAAUUGUUGAUUAGUCUCUAAUAUUGCCAUAUUUAUUGUUUAGCCCUAGUAAGUUCAUACGGUAUUAUUUUAUGUAUUUUUGUAAUAUUAUUAUUGAAAUUUUGUAAUUUGAUGACAUGGGUUAUAAACUAAAAUGUUAUGAUUGAAUUGGUGAGAAAAUGGAUUAAAAUGUAAAUUGUUAUAAGGUUACGUGUAUUGAGCCCAGAUGAACAUAGGAUAGGAUACAAUUGGCAUGCCAAUAAAUUAUUUUGUGUACUGUAUGGGAUUGACUUUUUAUGAGAUGAUGAUUUAUGACUUGUUAUUGUACAUUGAAUAUAUUGGAGUCCGGCAUUUGUUGCGGAUUACCGAGUUAUAUUUACAGUGAUUCUUGUGUGUUAUUGGAGGCGAAUGUAAAGCCUACAGGCUUGGCACUUGGUGCCCAAAAUGUGCUUGGUUGGUGGCUCGGUUGAUCAUUUUGGCGUGCCUUGGAUGGAUAACUACAUAUCCAUAUCUAUAUUCAUCCGUUCAUCGAGCUGAAUUUCAAUGGUUAAAUGACAUGUUGAUGAUAUAUAUUUGACAUUUGGUUAUGAUGCCUUGUGGAUGACUUGUAUAUGUUUUCAUGAUUUCAAAUAUUAUAUUGUGAAUUGAUAAUGAUUGAUAUCAUACAGAUGAGAUGAUUAAAUGACUCGUGUCAUUUUUCCUAUUUCUUUGUAGAUAUUGUUUUGUGAAACUGGGUAAUCGGAUCAAGUUGAAGAUCACAUUAUCCAAAUAUCUUUUGAUAGACUUUGAA